RNAcentral lists this transfer RNA (73 nucleotides) under Bos taurus (domestic cattle). It matches the Rfam family "tRNA". Rfam says of the family: Transfer RNA (tRNA) molecules are approximately 80 nucleotides in length. Their secondary structure includes four short double-helical elements and three loops (D, anti-codon, and T loops). RNAcentral also lists the same sequence under 5 other names. The record is from Rfam by way of RNAcentral. Lineage: Eukaryota; Metazoa; Chordata; Mammalia; Artiodactyla; Bovidae.
UCCCUGGGGGUCCAGAGGUUAAGACUCUGUGCUUCCAUGGCAGAGGGCACAGGUUUGAUUCCUGGUUGGGGAA